RNAcentral lists this ribosomal RNA (389 nucleotides) under uncultured bacterium. Its description in RNAcentral is "bacterial SSU rRNA". It matches the Rfam family "Bacterial small subunit ribosomal RNA", at positions 30 to 420 of the family's 1533-position model. The record is from RNAcentral.
AUUGAACGCUGGCGGCAUGCCUUACACAUGCAAGUCGAACGGCAGCACGGGGCAACCUGGUGGCGAGUGGCGAACGGGUGAGUAAUGCAUCGGAACGUGCCAUUGAGUGGGGGAUAACGUAGCGAAAGUUGCGCUAAUACCGCAUAUUCUGUGAGCAGGAAAGCAGGGGACCGCAAGGCCUUGCGCUCUUUGAGCGGCCGAUGUCAGAUUAGCUAGUUGGUGAGGUAAAGGCUCACCAAGGCGACGAUCUGUAGCGGGUCUGAGAGGAUGAUCCGCCACACUGGAACUGAGACACGGUCCAGACUCCUACGGGAGGCAGCAGUGGGGAAUUUUGGACAAUGGGGGGCAACCCUGAUCCAGCCAUGCCGCGUGAGUGAAGAAGGCCUCGG